GAUGAACGCUGGCGGCGUGCCUAAUACAUGCAAGUCGAGCGAACGGAUGAGAAGCUUGCUUUUCUGAUGUUAGCGGCGGACGGGUGAGUAAAACGUGGAUAACCUACCUAUAAGACUGGGAUAACUUCGGGAAACCGGAGCUAAUACCGGAUAAUAUUUUGAACCGCAUGGUUCAAAAGUGACAGACGGUCUUGCUGUCACUUAUAGAUGGAUCCGCGCUGCAUUAGCUAGUUGGUAAGGUAACGGCUUACCAAGGCAACGAUGCAUAGCCGACCUGAGAGGGUGAUCGGCCACACUGGAACUGAGACACGGUCCAGACUCCUACGGGAGGCAGCAGUAGGGAAUCUUCCGCAAUGGGCGAAAGCCUGACGGAGCAACGCCGCGUGAGUGAUGAAGGUCUUCGGAUCGUAAAACUCUGUUAUUAGGGAAGAACAUAUGUGUAAGUAACUGUGCACAUCUUGACGGUACCUAAUCAGAAAGCCACGGCUAACUACGUG
Molecule: ribosomal RNA, 497 nt
Filed under: uncultured bacterium
Lineage: Bacteria
Description: partial 16S ribosomal RNA
Rfam family: Bacterial small subunit ribosomal RNA
Source: RNAcentral